CUGAAAGUGCCAACUGUCCACUUGGGCACGUUUCCACAUUUCACGGGUGGGGCCGUGAGGGUCCUUUUAUCCCUCCAAAUGUGCUCUGCGUUCUUCUCUGUCUCCCUCUCCAUCCCUGGAGGCUGACCAUUGUGGACCACAUCAACUGAAGGCAGGCCCUUGGGCUUCGGGUUCGGUCCCAUCUAAAGUGGCCCCGCAGUGAACCCUGGCAGGAGCUGGAGGGAGGGAGAGAGAGAGGGGUGGGAGGUUAGGGUAUUUGUUUCCCCAAACCCAUCCCCAUGAGAUCACCUCAGGCUGGCCCUGUUCCCGUACUGAGGGUUGCAGCUCAUCUCGAGGUGACCUGAAUUGGGUAUCUCUGCAGUUUACACUCAGUGAACAUGCCGACCUUCCAUAAAUCAUUGCAUGUCACUGACUUCAUUUCUUCAAGGAAUUCCUCACAAGUCGGGGCCAUGCCCUUUGUAUGUUGGCCACUAGCUCCUCAAACAGCUGGUCCUUCGCCACUUCAAGGCCUUCAACCUCUUGGUCUGUCUGGGGAACACUCGACCUAUGGGUGGCUCCAGCUCUCCGUUCCUGUCUCUCCAUCCUCAGCCAGACCUUUCCAGGCUGCCCAUUUAAAUUAGCCCACCACCGUUCCCAGUCCAGCCACUGCAUCAUUGGGUCAUUUUCUUCAUAGCUCUUUAUCACGCUCUGUGGCAAUCUUGCUCAUAUACCUGUCUGCUUUUUGGCUGUCUCUCUUCCUCCUGGAGGGCAUGCCCCUCUUUACAAGGUUUCUUUGAUUGGCUUCUCUAAAUACAGUGCUCAAGAUAGUGGAGGAGUGUGCAGAGGUGCCCAAUAAAUGUUGAGUGAAUGAAAUGAGGACUUAGCUAUAGGAAUGACAAGCUCACAUUGAUGUUUGAGAAUCAAUCACUGUUUCUCCAGGGUGGAAAAUGGAAGAUUGGAGGCAUGGUUAGAAGGAAGAGAGGUCAGUUAGAAUGCUGGUGUGGGAUAGAAUGAAGAGAUGGAAAGAACAGGGGGGUAUUUGUGACAUACUGUGGUAGGCAGAGUUCUAACGAUGACCCUCACCCUCGUAUAAUCCCUUCCGCACUGAGCGUGGCUGGAACCUAUUACAUGACCAUAUAUCACUUCCUUACUUAUGUUACCUUAUUGGCAAAACAGAGAUUGUUGGGGUGGAGUAGGUUUAAUCUAAGCACAAGAGCCCUUUAAAAGCAGAGAGAUUUUUCCAGCUGGUCGCAGAAGGGGAAAUCAGAGAGAUUUGAUGUACAAGGAGGACUCAAGGUAACAGCUCAGCCUAGCAGAGACCUCAGUUUUUGCUUCAUGAGGCCUUCAGCAGAGAACCUAGCCAUGCCAUGCUGCACUUCUGACUCACACAUCUGCGAGUUAAACCAGGACUCGGGCUUUAUAUCCAUCAUGACACCGAGAUAUGAUGAGAGGAUAAGAAAAUGUGAGCGAAGUUUAUUGUGUCAGUAAUAGUUCUUAACAUAAUGAAAUAAAA
Molecule: long non-coding RNA, 1492 nt
Filed under: Equus caballus (horse)
Lineage: Eukaryota; Metazoa; Chordata; Mammalia; Perissodactyla; Equidae
Description: lncRNA (ENSECAG00000044616.1)
Source: RNAcentral